GGAGAGGUGGCCGAGUGGUUUAAGGCAGCGGUCUUGAAAACCGCCGAAGGUAACACUUCCGUGAGUUCGAAUCUCACCUUCUCCGCCA
This 88-nucleotide transfer RNA is filed under the name Deltaproteobacteria bacterium. RNAcentral's name for it is "tRNA-Ser". It matches the Rfam family "tRNA". From Rfam's summary of the family: Transfer RNA (tRNA) molecules are approximately 80 nucleotides in length. Their secondary structure includes four short double-helical elements and three loops (D, anti-codon, and T loops). Lineage: Bacteria; Pseudomonadati; Myxococcota; Myxococcia. The record is from RNAcentral. RNAcentral also lists the same sequence under 2 other names.